RNAcentral lists this ribosomal RNA (305 nucleotides) under uncultured bacterium. RNAcentral's name for it is "partial 16S ribosomal RNA". It matches the Rfam family "Bacterial small subunit ribosomal RNA", at positions 336 to 656 of the family's 1533-position model. The record is from RNAcentral.
CUCCUACGGGGGGCAGCAGUGGGGAAUAUUGCACAAUGGGGGGAACCCUGAUGCAGCGACGCCGCGUGAGUGAAGAAGUAUUUCGGUACGUAAAGCUCUAUCAGCAGGGAAGAAAAAAGGACGGUACCUGAGUAAGAAGCCCCGGCUAACUACGUGCCAGCAGCCGCGGUAAUACGUAGGUGGCAAGCGUUGUCCGGAUUUACUGGGUGUAAAGGGCGUGUAGCCGGGCUGACAAGUCAGAUGUGAAAUCCGGGGGCUCAACCCCCGAACUGCAUUUGAAACUGUUGGUCUUGAGUAUCGGAGAG